CCGAAGUGAGUCAUGUUAUAAACGCAAGGCGCCCGUGGUGGGAAGAAGAUGACGAAACAGCGUACUUACACAGCAUAUUUUGCCGUGUGUUAAGUCACCCUUAUCUCCACUCAGAAUGCUAAUCCUGUAAGUUAGGCUGGAGAACUUCUGUGAAGUUUGGACAGUAGGAGAUGAGGUACUGGCGAAAGUAAAGCUGUGAGGACGGGUCGUGACUCAUGCUCUGGCGCUCAGUUUGUAGAGCACUUGCAAAGGUCCCAGUUCGGCACAGAGCUGUAAUCUGGCAAAAAGUUUCACACAGGCAGACACACUCCGCUGCAAGGUCAUGUGAAUUCACAGAACAUGAGGUACUGGGCAACGGAGAACCCUAACAUUAUGUGUCAGCAACCACUCCACGAUGAAAAAAUCGGCGUUUGGUGGCCUUAACAAGAACGCGCAUCAUUGGACCGAUCUUUUUUGACAUUAACUUCAACACGGUUGCAUAUAUGAAUAUUUUUGAUACAUUUUGUGCUCAACUCACUAAAUUCGAAAGACAAUACUACUUUUUCCAGCAAGGGUGCGGCAACAUGUCGCACGUCUAAGGUACCCUGGAAAGAGUUAAUGAUGUCUUCACUGAGAAACGAACUGUCAGUAACAUUGAUGGCAACCACGUUCUCGAGAUCUAGCAACAUGUGAUUUUUUUCCUGUGGGGACACUUGAAGAGCAAGGUCUAUGAAACAAAUCCACCCACAACACAGGAACUGAAAGACAACUUGACGCCGAAAGUGUAUGAAUACGCUUAGACGUGCACAGGUGUGUAUAGGCGCUGCACGGGGUCACAUUCAGUAUCUUUUAUAAAUGUAUUUUUCACUGUAUCACUGUACUUUUCAUUCUAAAUAAAUGGUGAUUCCAUUUCA
This is a long non-coding RNA of Schistocerca serialis cubense, 893 nucleotides long. RefSeq lists it as uncharacterized. Lineage: Eukaryota; Metazoa; Arthropoda; Insecta; Orthoptera; Acrididae. The record is from RefSeq and is a predicted model, not a curated record. The transcript is spliced from 3 exons.